AUUGAACGCUGGCGGCAUGCCUUAUACAUGCAAGUCGAACGGUAACAGCACUUCGGUGGCUGACGAGUGGCGAACGGGUGAGUAAUACAUCGGAACGUGCCCGAGAGUGGGGGAUAACGCAGCGAAAGCUGUGCUAAUACCGCAUACGAUCUACGGAUGAAAGCAGGGGAUUCGCAAGGACCUUGCGGCUCAUGGAGCGGCCGAUGGCAGAUUAGGUAGUUGGUGGGGAUAAAAGCUUACCCAAGCCGACGAUCUGUAGCUGGUCUGAGAGGACGGACCAGCCACACUGGGACUGAGACACGGCCCAGACUCCUACGGGAGGCAGCAGUGGGGAAUUUUGGACAA
Molecule: ribosomal RNA, 345 nt
Filed under: uncultured bacterium
Lineage: Bacteria
Description: bacterial SSU rRNA
Rfam family: Bacterial small subunit ribosomal RNA
Source: RNAcentral